GAUGAAGAACGUAGCGAAAUGCGAUACUUGGUGUGAAUUGCAGAAUCCCGUGAACCAUCGAGUCUUUGAACGCAAGUUGCGCCCGAAGCCACUAGGCCGAGGGCACGCCUGCCUGGGCGUCACACGCCGUUGCCCCCCCAUCUACUCCUUCGGGAUUGCGGGGGGGCGGAUGAUGGCCUCCCGUGCGCCUAGCCGCGCGGUUGGCAUAAAUACCAAGUCCUCGGCGACGCACGCCACGACAAUCGGUGGUUGCGAAACCUCGGUUGCCCGUCGUGUGCGUUCGUCGCGCAUCGAGGGCUCGAAAAAAUGCUCGGCUCCGGCUGGGCUUUCAACGCGACCCCAGGUCAGGCGGGGUUACCCGCUGAAUUUAAGCAUAUCAAUAAGCAGAGGA
Molecule: unclassified non-coding RNA, 391 nt
Filed under: soil metagenome
Description: partial contains 5.8S ribosomal RNA, internal transcribed spacer 2, and large subunit ribosomal RNA
Rfam family: 5.8S ribosomal RNA (bases 1-122)
Source: RNAcentral